GACGAACGCUGGCGGCGUGCUUAACACAUGCAAGUCGAACGGUAAGGCCCUUCGGGGUACACGAGUGGCGAACGGGUGAGUAACACGAGGGUGAUCUGCCCUGCACUUCGGGAUAAGCCUGGGAAACUGGGUCUAAUACCGGAUAGGACCACUGCCUGCAUGGGUGGUGGUGGAAAGCUUUUGCGGUGUGGGAUGGGCCCGCGGCCUAUCAGCUUGUUGGUGGGGUGAUGGCCUACCAAGGCGACGACGGGUAGCCGGCCUGAGGGGGUGACCGGCCACACUGGGCCUGAGAUACGGCCCAGACUCCUACGGGAGGCAGCAGUGGGGAAUAUUGCACAAUGGGCGCAAGCCUGAUGCAGCGACGCCGCGUGAGGGAUGACGGCCUUCGGGUUGUAAACCUCUUUCAGCACCGACGAAGCGCAAGUGACGGUAGGUGCAGAAGAGGGACCGGCCAACUACGUGCCAGCCGCCGCGGUAA
Molecule: ribosomal RNA, 478 nt
Filed under: uncultured bacterium
Lineage: Bacteria
Description: partial 16S ribosomal RNA
Rfam family: Bacterial small subunit ribosomal RNA
Source: RNAcentral